CCUACGGGUGGCAGCAGUGAGGAAUAUUGGUCAAUGGACGAGAGUCUGAACCAGCCAAGUAGCGUGAAGGAUGACUGCCCUAUGGGUUGUAAACUUCUUUUAUAUGGGAAUAAAAUGUUCCACGUGUGGGAUUUUGUAUGUACCAUAUGAAUAAGGAUCGGCUAACUCCGUGCCAGCAGCCGCGGUAAUACGGAGGAUCCGAGCGUUAUCCGGAUUUAUUGGGUUUAAAGGGAGCGUAGGUGGAUUGUUAAGUCAGUUGUGAAAGUUUGCGGUUCAACCGUAAAAUUGCAGUUGAAACUGGCAGUCUUGAGUACAGUAGAGGUGGGCGGAAUUCGUGGUGUAGCGGUGAAAUGCUUAGAUAUCACGAAGAACUCCGAUUGCGAAGGCAGUUCACUGGACUGCAACUGACACUGAGGCUCGAAAGUGUGGGUAUCAAACAGGAUUAGAUACCCUUGUAGUC
RNAcentral lists this ribosomal RNA (460 nucleotides) under uncultured bacterium. RNAcentral's name for it is "partial 16S ribosomal RNA". It matches the Rfam family "Bacterial small subunit ribosomal RNA", at positions 338 to 795 of the family's 1533-position model. The record is from RNAcentral.